CCUACGGGGGGCAGCAGUGGGGAAUAUUGCGCAAUGGGCGAAAGCCUGACGCAGCGACGCCGCGUGAGGGAUGAAGGUCUUCGGAUCGUAAACCUCUGUCAGCAGGGAAGAACGGUCACUGUGCUAAUCAGCAGUGAAUUGACGGUACCUGCAAAGGAAGCACCGGCUAACUCCGUGCCAGCAGCCGCGGUAAUACGGAGGGUGCGUGCGUUAAUCGGAAUUACUGGGGGUAAAGCGCUCGUAGGCGGUAUGUCAAGUCAAGGGUGAAAUCCCCGCGCUCAACGUGGGAACUGCCUUUGAAACUGUGCGGCUGGAGUGCAGGAGAGGUAAGUGGAAUG
Molecule: ribosomal RNA, 338 nt
Filed under: uncultured bacterium
Lineage: Bacteria
Description: partial 16S ribosomal RNA
Rfam family: Bacterial small subunit ribosomal RNA
Source: RNAcentral